RNAcentral lists this small RNA (31 nucleotides) under Arabidopsis thaliana (thale cress). RNAcentral's name for it is "ATSL134070". Lineage: Eukaryota; Viridiplantae; Streptophyta; Magnoliopsida; Brassicales; Brassicaceae. The record is from RNAcentral.
GUGAUACGCUUCAUGUCUCUUUCGUCGUCAU